GGAUGAAUGUAAAUGACAGGUUAAGAUUAGGAACACUACACAUUGUUGUUAUCAACAAUGACGGAUUUUGCCGCCACACACGCCCUGUUGCAACUCUGCUACUAUGAUUUUCUAUUUCUAUGGAUGUAUUGGUUUGCAUAGUCUCUAGAAUUCUUGUAUGUUAGUAGUAAACUUUUCCUGUUAUGCUGCAAUGCAGCAUACUCUUUGGUUUCCAGCAAUCAGCUUUUAUUAUUAAUCUAGAUCAUUUCUAAUGAUUCCACACGUAGUAUAAUGUAAUUCAAGAUGCUUCCUUCCUAUCUUUUGAGGGAUACAAGUUGUUUCACUACCUGACAAAGUUAUAAUAAUC
This 346-nucleotide long non-coding RNA is filed under the name Trifolium pratense (red clover). RNAcentral describes it as "long non-coding RNA (TPRA_LNC011857)". The record is from RNAcentral. Lineage: Eukaryota; Viridiplantae; Streptophyta; Magnoliopsida; Fabales; Fabaceae.